UAUUUUGCACUGAUGCCAAAAGCAUAGUUGACCGCUACAGUAAUUUAGCAUCCAUCUCUUCUCUCUCGCGAUACCCAGUCAGAGUCACUCUCUCAUCCAUCUUCUCACCUCCAAACUCCCUCUCUUCUCUCUCGCGACACCCACAGUCAGCUUAAACCCUCUCUCGCUAUACCCACAGUCACAGUCGCAGUCACUCUCUCAUUCCUCUCACCUUCAGUAUCUCUCUUCUUCACUGAUUUCUUCUCUGUCCUCCAUCUCUGCCGUCAUCUAUUCCUAAACCCUAAAAGAGAGAGCCAUAGACGUCCUCCUCGUCGUCGAGAAGAGCCAUCGCAGUCCCUUCGUUUACCUCCGUCGUCGUCGUCCUCCAGGAAAGAGAAGCUUUGAAAGAAAAAAGGGAGAGAAAUAAGAGGGAAGGUAUUUUAUUGUUCUGUUCUUGUGCAUUUGAUUUGUUACUGAUUUUUUUCUUUUAUUGGCAACUGUGAUUUUGUCUGUAUUAAAAUCAUGGGUUGCAUGAACUAUAUUAGCUAGACAACUAUGGGGGCUUUAGUUAAUUAAUUGUAACAUAUGCUUACAUAUUUGGAACCAAGGAUCAAUUAACAAGACAUUAGUUUGGGGUGAUUCAGUCAGGAACCAAUUAAUCUUUCAAAAGAAAACAAAACUGAGAAUUGGGUUUUGGUCAUAAUGGAACAUUGGAAUUUACAUAUAUUGAAAGCAGAGUAGUCGUAGCUAGGCAUCAUUGUUUUAUAUAUACACUUAAAAUUUACCUAAUUAAGUUUGUCAUAAUUUGUUUUAAUUACUAGCUAGCUUGGUUUACAGUUUAGGUCAUCAGGGGAUUCUAUUGCCCAUGUAGUGGUUGAUGCCAAGUAACUCGUGCGUAUAUUACAUAUUGGCUCCGUGGAUGUGCUUACAAUAGGGCGAUGGAUUUGCUCUAUUUUCCUAGCAACACAUGAAGUCCAAGAUUAGUUCAAGGGCCCUUCUUUGUUUCUUCUAAGUAGUAAGGAUGGGCGUCUGAGAAUUUUGGAUUGUCCAAGCCUGCGAAUAAUUUUAGAUGAACCAAUUGUUCACAAGUCUGUUCGUGAUUUGGAUUUCAGGUAAUAAUACAGUCAGAAUAUUGGGGGUGGGAGUUGUUUCGGCUCUGCUUGUUGAGGUUUACUAGGCUUCAUGUUGUUGUUGGUAUCUACUAUCCAGUGUUUCAUAUUAGUUGAAUCGUGCUUUAGUCAUUGAAUUUGAACUAGGCUUCAUUUGGCACAAUUCCUGUAAAAAAAUCUUCAAGAUUUUUGUAGUAGUGAAGGAAAUGCAAUGUUAACAAUUGUAAUAGUGAAAGCUUUUUGCCGCAAAGUUUUUUUACCAGAAA
Molecule: non-coding RNA, 1354 nt
Organism: Prunus avium (sweet cherry)
Lineage: Eukaryota; Viridiplantae; Streptophyta; Magnoliopsida; Rosales; Rosaceae
Source: RefSeq, a predicted model, not a curated record